RNAcentral lists this ribosomal RNA (307 nucleotides) under uncultured eukaryote. Its description in RNAcentral is "partial 18S ribosomal RNA". It matches the Rfam family "Eukaryotic small subunit ribosomal RNA", at positions 1470 to 1796 of the family's 1831-position model. The record is from RNAcentral.
CCCUUAGACGUUCUGGGCCGCACGCGCGCUACACUGACACAGGCAACGAGCUUUCCUUUACCGAAAGGUAUGGGUAAUCUUUUGAAACUGUGUCGUGCUGGGGAUAGAUCCUUGCAAUUUUUGAUCUUAAACGAGGAAUUCCUAGUAAGCGUGAGUCAUCAACUCGCGUUGAUUACGUCCCUGCCCUUUGUACACACCGCCCGUCGCUACUACCGAUUGAAUGGCUUAGUGAGGCCUCAGGAUCCGCGCUUAAUGUGUGGAGAAUUUGGACAAACUACGUCAUUUAGAGGAAGUAAAAGUCGUAACA